RNAcentral lists this ribosomal RNA (499 nucleotides) under uncultured bacterium. RNAcentral's name for it is "bacterial SSU rRNA". It matches the Rfam family "Bacterial small subunit ribosomal RNA", at positions 17 to 518 of the family's 1533-position model. The record is from RNAcentral.
UUAUGGCUCAGGAUGAACGCUGGCGGCGUGCUUAACACAUGCAAGUCGAACGCUGAAGCUCCCAGCUUGCUGGGGGUGGAUGAGUGGCGAACGGGUGAGUAUCACGUGAGUAACCUGCCCUUGACUCUGGGAUAAGCCCGGGAAACUGGGUCUAAUACUGGAUAGGACUGGCCAUCGCAUGGUGGUUGGUUGAAAGCUUUUUGCGGUUUUUGGAUGGACUCGCGGCCUAUCAGCUUGUUGGUGGGGUAAUGGCCUACCAAGGCUUUGACGGGUAGCCGGCCUGAGAGGGUGACCGGCCACACUGGGACUGAGACACGGCCCAGACUCCUACGGGAGGCAGCAGUGGGGGAUAUUGCACAAUGGGCGCAAGCCUGAAUGCAGCGACGCCGCGUGAGGGAUGACGGCCUUCGGGUUGUAAACCUCUUUCAGUUGGGAAGAAGCCUUUCGGGGUGACGGUACCUUCAGAAGAAGCACCGGCUAACUACGUGCCAGCAGCGGC